GCGGCCAGCUCCUCCAAGAGCCAGUGUCCUGGGAGAGCCAGGAGGAAGCCACACGGCCUUUUCUGACGCAGCCUCAUCCAGCGUCUGUUCCACAGUAAGGGAAUUAUUGCUUACAGCCCGGACGCAAGGGGAGGAGUCAUAGAUCCCACCUCUCCAUGCGUCAGAGAAGGGUUAUGAGUGCUUUAAAAUCACGUCGUUCAUAAAAAUCAGAACUGUCACGAACAAGAGCCAUAGUGGAAAAGGAAAACUACAGGGGUUCAUACAACUUUGGUUAAAUGAGUGUCUCAGUGACGAUAAGGACGGUGAAGACGGAGGAGGCGUCUGAGAAGCCUUCACAUCCAUUUUUUUCUCCUGAAGCUGCUUCUGGUUGGAAAGUCACCAAAUUUCAUCAGCCUGGGCCUCGGUGUUUCCGCUUUCCAUCAUCUCCAUAGUCUCCAAGCGCCUAGAUCCUCGCGGCCUCGGUGUUUCCGCUUUCCAUCAUCUCCAUAGUCUCUAAGCACUUAGAUCCUCGCAGCCUCGGUGUUUCCGUUUUCCAUCAUCUCCAUAGUCUCUAAGCGCCUAGAUCCUCGCAGCCUCGGUGUUUCCGUUUUCCAUCAUCUCCAUAGUCUCUAAGCGCCUAGAUCCUCGCAGCCUCGGUGUUUCCGUUUUCCAUCAUCUCCAUAGUCUCCUAUGCCCAGAUCCGAGUACUCUGGGGACAGGAACUCCCAGUAUCAGUCUCGUUCUCUGGCCAUCUUUUCUGGCCUGUUUUGUCAGCGUUGGAUGGAAAUGUGUCCUCGUCCUCAUUCCGUCCUGCUCGUGGAUGUGAGGCAGGACCCCCUCCCGGAGCCUCUCCUGCCCACUCCAGUAAGCUGUUGUGAGAAUUUGACAGAAUCAUGCAAGUGAGAGGAUUACAAACGUUAAAGCAUUACAGAAGGUGUUGUUAUAAUGAAACGUGGAUCCUGGGCUCACGUUGGGGUGGGGCUGAGCCUCCUCCAGUCCUUCUGCUUGCGUGUGUAACCUCUGGUGAAAUACUGAUAAUCGUUGCUAAGUGGCUCAGGCUUCUUCACAUCCUGUGUUUCUCCUGUGGCUUUCACAGGGCAGGCCCGUCUGCCGUGAACUGAUGCUGCUGAGAAGGGUGAGGUGGGAAGACACGUAGCUACAAAGGACCUGGGGGCUCUGGUUAAGUGAGACGUCUUAGAUCUGAGCUCACCGCUCCAACCCAGAAAGGAACAACAGCAACGAUGGUACGAGACCCGUAGUACAGUCAGCUGGCGGCUCAGCACCGUGGUCUCAUCACCAAAGUUCCCCUUCAGCCACGUUCCGUCUCUCGCAGCCACCUUAUCAGGAACAUCAAAUUUAACUGAGGUCCUACUGGCUCAGUGACAUCUCAGCACAUAGUUCUGCUUAUGAAAUAGGCACCAAACCCUACACCAAGUAGACAACCAUGAGGAAUCCACAGAUUCUUCCUUAAGAAACUCACAUGCAGAUGAACACACACAAAGAAUGUUCACUGUGGUUAUUGCUGCAGGAGAGGUGUGUUCAAGGUGCCAUGGGAGGACAGAAGAUGGAGCAACGUGCCUGACUCCGUGCAGGAAGUCAAGGAGGAGCUGGCACGUGAGCCGGGCCUUCAGGGAUGGGCAGAUGUUCAGAGCAGGCUGUGGGGCCCACCCAGCUGGUUCAGAUCCCGACCCUGCCACUUCCCAACUACACAACGUGGCUGGUUACUUACUUUUUGAUGCCCGGUGUCCUUCCUCCACAAUGGAUGUGGUGGUACUGACUGAGCCGCCUCAGGGGUCACCGUGAGCAGAAGGGAGUCUAGGCGAGUGUGGCCCUCAGAACA
Molecule: long non-coding RNA, 1819 nt
Organism: Equus asinus (donkey)
Lineage: Eukaryota; Metazoa; Chordata; Mammalia; Perissodactyla; Equidae
Source: Ensembl